RNAcentral lists this ribosomal RNA (161 nucleotides) under Pimpinella diversifolia. RNAcentral's name for it is "5.8S ribosomal RNA". It matches the Rfam family "5.8S ribosomal RNA". From Rfam's summary of the family: 5.8S ribosomal RNA (5.8S rRNA) is a component of the large subunit of the eukaryotic ribosome. It is transcribed by RNA polymerase I as part of the 45S precursor that also contains 18S and 28S rRNA. RNAcentral also lists the same sequence under 1 other name. The record is from RNAcentral. Lineage: Eukaryota; Viridiplantae; Streptophyta; Magnoliopsida; Apiales; Apiaceae.
AUGACUCUCGACAACGGAUAUCCCGGCUCUCGCAUCGAUGAAGAACGUAGCGAAAUGCGAUACUUGGUGUGAAUUGCAGAAUCCCGUGAACCAUCGAGUCUUUGAACGCAAGUUGCGCCCGAAGCCACUAGGCCGAGGGCACGUCUGCCUGGGUGUCACGC